UGGGGAAUAUUGCACAAUGGGCGCAAGCCUGAUGCAGCCAUGCCGCGUGUAUGAAGAAGGCCUUCGGGUUGUAAAGUACUUUCAGCGAGGAGGAAGGCAUUGUGGUUAAUAACCGCAGUGAUUGACGUUACUCGCAGAAGAAGCACCGGCUAACUCCGUGCCAGCAGCCGCGGUAAUACGGAGGGUGCAAGCGUUAAUCGGAAUUACUGGGCGUAAAGCGCACGCAGGCGGUCUGUCAAGUCGGAUGUGAAAUCCCCGGGCUCAACCUGGGAACUGCAUUCGAAACUGGCAGGCUAGAGUCUUGUAGAGGGGGUAGAAUUCCAGGUGUAGCGGUGAAAUGCGUAGAGAUCUGGAGGAAUACCGGUGGCGAAGGCGGCCCCCUGGACAAAGACUGACGCUC
RNAcentral lists this ribosomal RNA (400 nucleotides) under uncultured bacterium. Its description in RNAcentral is "bacterial SSU rRNA". It matches the Rfam family "Bacterial small subunit ribosomal RNA", at positions 355 to 748 of the family's 1533-position model. The record is from RNAcentral.